AGUUAAAAAGCUCGUAGUUGGAUUUCAGUCUUAGCACGGCUGGCCCGCUCCCUUGAGGAGCCGAGUGCCGGUGUGUGCUGGACUUCCUUCUGGCAAGGAUCUUCUACCUCUAUGAGGCCGGGAGUGACUUCUGGAUCAUUUACUUUGAAGAAAUUAGAGUGUUCAAAGCAAGCUACGCUGUGAAUAUAUUAGCAUGGAAUAAUAACAUAGGACUUGGGUUCUAUUUUGUUGGUUUUCUGAAUCUAAGUAAUGAUUGAUAGGGACAGUUGGGGGUGCUGCUAUUAUAUGGCCAGAGGUGAAAUUCACGGAUUCAUAUAAGAGCAACUUAUGCGAAAGCAUUCACCAAGGAUGUCUUCUUUAAUCAAGAACGAAAGUUGGGGGAUCGAAGACGAUCAGAUACCGUCGUAGUCUCAACCAUAAACUAUGCCGACUAGGGAUUGGUGGACGUUGAAUUUCCGACUCCAUCAGCACCUCAUGAGAAAUCAAAGUCUUUGGGUUCCGGGGGGAGUAUGGUCGCAAGGCUGAAACUUAAAGGAAUUGACGGAAGGACACCACCAGAAGUGGAACUUGCGGCUUAAUUUGACUCAACACGGGAAAACUUACCAGGUCCAGACAUAGUAAGGAUUGACAGAUUGAAGAUCUUUCUUGAUUCUAUGGGGUGGGUGGUGCAU
RNAcentral lists this ribosomal RNA (671 nucleotides) under uncultured marine eukaryote. RNAcentral's name for it is "SSU rRNA". It matches the Rfam family "Eukaryotic small subunit ribosomal RNA", at positions 617 to 1285 of the family's 1831-position model. The record is from RNAcentral.